RNAcentral lists this long non-coding RNA (1704 nucleotides) under Glycine max (soybean). RNAcentral describes it as "long non-coding RNA (GMAX_LNC002722)". Lineage: Eukaryota; Viridiplantae; Streptophyta; Magnoliopsida; Fabales; Fabaceae. The record is from RNAcentral.
UGACAUGGGCAAAAGACAGCUCAUGAAUCUGCUUCUUCUUGGUGCCAUUUCACUCCCCUCUGCUGGAAUGCUUAUUCCCUACACCUACUUUUUUGUCCCUCCAGGGUAGGUUUUUGUUUUCCUACACAAUUAUACUUAUCAUCACAUUAAUUAGUUCUUACAUCUUCACAAAUUUUGGUCGUCAAAUUAGUCCUUAAGAGAUGCAAAAUGUCAUUGCCUUUGUCCUUGAACGAUUUUAUCAUCAGAUUACUUCGUUAUAGGUUUAAUUUGUCACUAAACUUGCUCUUCGAUUUUAUUAUGGAGUAAAUAAUUUAUGCAAUAUAGUAUACUGUAAUUUAAUCACAAACCACCAUGUAUGAUAACUUUAUUGAUUUUUACAAUAACUACUUCAACUGUAAUACCGACAAUGAUUUUUGAUCAGUUGAUAGUAUAUAGAAAUUAAACUCCUUAUUUUGUGUCAUCACUUCCUUAAGGAUGAAUGUGGUGACAUUUGAGAUCUAUAAGUGACAAAUGUGGUGACAGAAUUUUUAAAAAACUAACAUGGCAGCAUUUUAAAUCACUAAGGAACUAAUGAACUAACUAAAAUUUAAGAAGGGCUAAUGUUGUGUCGUGUGUAACUUUGGAGAAGUAAUUACUCCAGUAGCAUGAAUUCCCCAAAACAUAAAAUAACAGGUGUUGAUAGUGCUCAUGUACUAAUAGGAUCAGCUUUAGGGGAUGCCUUAAUUUGAUGGUGCUUCCAUGAGAAGCUUUUCUCUUGAACGUUGAAUAAUUACCUUCUGCUUUGCUAGAUGUGCAGCCUCUUUUUCAAUAGUUGUACUAUUACUUGAAGCUAAUUCAUACAUAUUACUUUUGGUAUUAUUAUUAUCAUUGUAAUGAUUUUUGUAGUGGGAGGGAAAGAAGCGAUGAAAGUUAAAAAUUUGCACAUUCCUGACAUUGGGGGAGGAGUACUGAAUUGAUUAUUUCUUAAUGUUUUGAAUUUUGCCUCAAUUCUUUAGUUUUGCAUUCUAGUCACAUUAGUUUAAAAGCUAUCUUCUGAACUUAAACUAUCAGUUGAUUCGAAGAGGAACAUAUAAAUUGCAUUGAAAGGGAAGAAAAUCUAUCAUAUUGCUCAUUACUUGUUGCAUUUAGCACCCAAAAGUUUGAUAAUUAACUCUUAACCUUCCAAUGUGUUGCUUUUUAUUAUUCAAUCCCAGUUUCUUCAUCUAUACAAAUCAUUAACCUGACUGGGGAAAAAAUUACAGUUCAGGUUCUUCAGCUGGUGGUACUGUUGCCAAGGAUGCUGUUGGAAAUGAUGUAAUUGCAGAGAAUUGGCUCAAGGCACAUGGACCUGGUGACCGAACCCUUGCACAAGGAUUGAAGGUAAGUGUACCGCUGUUUAGUUAGUGUACUCAUAGAUCUUCAACAAGUUGCAGAUGCUUUACAUGUAAUAUUGAAAGCAAUAGCUUCCCUAGACUGCUUUGGCAUCAUUUCUCAUUGCUUCUUUUCUUCAAUUAUUAGACCUCUUCUCUUUCCUCAACAAAUUUAUCUUGCUACACUCUGCCCAUUUUAUCCAGUGGCAGUGUUAGAGAAAUUUAAACUGUAGUUCUAGUUACAAAAACCAAAGGUUUGGCUUUGUAGAAGUGGAAAUGAUUUCCUUCUCACCUUCCAACCAUAAUAACUAUUUUCAUAAUUCUACAAUUUGAAUCCACCCCCCUUUAUUUACAG